GAAGCCUUACACGAUUUUGGUUGUUUUGAAGCAAUAUAUGACAAAGUUCCAAAUGAAAUUAGAGAGGGCGUGUUUGAUACUUUAAAAGAAGUAUUUGAUUUUCCAUUAUCCAAAUUGAUAGAAUAUAGAGAGAAACCCUUUCAUAUCUAUGAUGGGUAAAUUACAAGUAUACCACUCUAUGGUAGUGUGAGCUCUGUUGAUUUGGUCCUCCCAAAUAGUGUUGAAACAUUUGCCAAUACCUUUUGGUCUCAUGGAAACCCUAAUUUAGCAAUGUGGCAAAGUCCUACUUCAAGCAACUUAUGGAAUUGAAUGACAUGGUG
Molecule: long non-coding RNA, 320 nt
Organism: Solanum tuberosum (potato)
Lineage: Eukaryota; Viridiplantae; Streptophyta; Magnoliopsida; Solanales; Solanaceae
Exons: 2
Source: RefSeq, a predicted model, not a curated record